RNAcentral lists this long non-coding RNA (251 nucleotides) under Lathyrus oleraceus (garden pea). Its description in RNAcentral is "Pisum sativum (pea) long non-coding RNA (PSAT_LNC023674)". Lineage: Eukaryota; Viridiplantae; Streptophyta; Magnoliopsida; Fabales; Fabaceae. The record is from RNAcentral.
UCUCUCCACAGGGAGAUGUCAGAAUCAGAGGUUCCUGCACUUAUUCUUUUAUUUUUCAAUGCCCCUUGGCAAUCAAUAUUUCACCUGACCGUUUGAUCUUUCUUUUCAACAUCCUGAAUAUGGGUUCACACGUGGCUGUUAAAUGAGAUGUGAACCAUGACAGGUAGUUCAAUCUUUCUAAGAAACCACGAACCUCUCUUUUUCUUUCUCGGUUCAGGCGUUUCUCUUAUUGUUCUUUUUUUUUUAUUUUU